Long non-coding RNA from Heterocephalus glaber (naked mole-rat), 328 nucleotides. RefSeq lists it as uncharacterized. The record is from RefSeq and is a predicted model, not a curated record. NCBI's taxonomy places the organism in Eukaryota, Metazoa, Chordata, Mammalia, Rodentia, Bathyergidae.
GGCCGGUUAGGAGCUGCACGAUCCUCGCUGCUGUCUUUUCUCAGUUAUACCAACGUCCGUGUGGUUCCUGCUUCGAUUUUUCAAGAGAAGGCUCCUGAAGCAGAAGGGAUCAUUUCUAUUUAAUGGCCCACUCAAGAACAGACUCUGCUUUCCUUCUUCUAAAUUGCCCUGCCUACUGGGCAAGGAUGAAAGAUGGGAACCAAGAGAGAUUAUGUAAAGGUGCAAAUUUCCAACGAUGAAUGUCAUUAUAUUGUACACCUAAAAUGUACCAAUGAUUAGAAUGAAUAAUUGAUAAUGCAAAACAGGAAGAAAAGGUCCAAAAGGGUAG